RNAcentral lists this ribosomal RNA (275 nucleotides) under uncultured Gemmatimonas sp. RNAcentral describes it as "partial 16S ribosomal RNA". It matches the Rfam family "Bacterial small subunit ribosomal RNA", at positions 338 to 613 of the family's 1533-position model. Lineage: Bacteria; Pseudomonadati; Gemmatimonadota; Gemmatimonadia; Gemmatimonadales; Gemmatimonadaceae. The record is from RNAcentral.
CCUACGGGUGGCUGCAGUGGGGAAUCUUGCGCAAUGGCCGAAAGGCUGACGCAGCGACGCCGCGUGGGGGAUGAAGGCCUUCGGGUCGUAAACCCCUGUUGCCCGGGACGAACGGCCUAAUUCGUUAGGCGUGACGGUACCGGGUGAGGAAGCACCGGCUAACUCUGUGCCAGCAGCCGCGGUAAUACAGAGGGUGCGAGCGUUGUCCGGAAUCACUGGGCGUAAAGGGCGCGUAGGCGGCCCCUUAAGCGUGUGGUGAAAGCGCGGGGCUCAAC